UACGGGGGGGGCAAGCGUUGUUCGGAAUUACUGGGCGUAAAGGGCGCGUAGGCGGCAUAUUAAGUCAGCUGUGAAAUCUCCGAGCUUAACUCGGAACUGUCAGCUGAUACUGAUGUGCUAGAGUGCAGAAAGGGCAAUCAGAAUUCUUGGUGUAGCGGUGAAAUGCGUAGAUAUCAAGAGGAAUACCUGAGGCGAAGGCGGGUUGCUAGGCUGACACUGACGCUGAGGCGCGAAAGCCGGGGGAGCAAACGGG
This 253-nucleotide ribosomal RNA is filed under the name uncultured bacterium. RNAcentral describes it as "partial 16S ribosomal RNA". It matches the Rfam family "Bacterial small subunit ribosomal RNA", at positions 524 to 776 of the family's 1533-position model. The record is from RNAcentral.